RNAcentral lists this ribosomal RNA (470 nucleotides) under Acmella minima. RNAcentral's name for it is "Paludinella minima partial 16S ribosomal RNA". It matches the Rfam family "Bacterial large subunit ribosomal RNA", at positions 1813 to 2561 of the family's 2925-position model. Lineage: Eukaryota; Metazoa; Mollusca; Gastropoda; Littorinimorpha; Assimineidae. The record is from RNAcentral.
ACAUCGCUCUUUGAAAAAUUUGUAUAAAGAGUUGAACCUGCCCAGUGAAUAUUUUAACGGCCGCAGUACCCUGACUGUGCAAAGGUAGCAUAAUCAUUUGCCUUAUAAUUGAGGGCUAGAAUGAAUGGUUUGACAAGAGUAAAGCUGUCUCUAUAAAAUUUAUUAGAAUUUGGUGUUUAGGUGAAGAAACUUAAAUGAAAUUGAAAGACAAGAAGACCCUAUCGAGCUUUAAAAUAAAGUUUUUAAGAAUAUUUGGUUCUAAAUUUAUUUUGAUAAUAAUUUUUUGGUUGGGGCGACUGAGGAACAAAAAAAGCUUCCUUAUUAAAAAUAGACUAUUAGUUUUGAUCCAAUAAAUUGAUUAUAAAAAAUAGUUACCGUAGGGAUAACAGCAUAAUCUUUUUUAAGAGUUCUUAUCGAAAAAAAGGUUUGUGACCUCGAUGUUGGACUAGGAUAUCCUGAGGGUGUAGAAG